GCCAGAGUAGCUCAGUGGUAGAGCACCGCUUUCGUAAAGCGGCGGCCACGGGUUCAAGUCCCGUCUCUGGCUCCA
This 75-nucleotide transfer RNA is filed under the name Planctomycetota bacterium. Its description in RNAcentral is "Planctomycetes bacterium tRNA-Thr". It matches the Rfam family "tRNA". Rfam says of the family: Transfer RNA (tRNA) molecules are approximately 80 nucleotides in length. The record is from RNAcentral. Lineage: Bacteria; Pseudomonadati; Planctomycetota.